GAGUUUGAUCCUGGCUCAGAACGAACGCUGGCGGCAGGCCUAACACAUGCAAGUCGAACGACACAGUGGCAGACGGGUGAGUAACGCGUGGGAACGUACCUUUCGCUAAGGAAUAGCUCCGGGAAACUGGUGGUAAUACCUUAUACGCCCUCAGGGGGAAAGAUUUAUCGGCGAAAGAUCGGCCCGCGUUGGAUUAGCUAGUUGGUGAGGUAAUGGCUCACCAAGGCGACGAUCCAUAGCUGGUCUGAGAGGAUGAUCAGCCACACUGGGACUGAGACACGGCCCAGACUCCUACGGGAGGCAGCAGUGGGGAAUCUUGCACAAUGGGCGAAAGCCUGAUGCAGCCAUGCCGCGUGAAUGAUGAAGGCCUUAGGGUUGUAAAAUUCUUUCGUCAGGGAUGAUAAUGACCGUACCUGAAGAAGAAGCCCCGGCUAACUUCGUGCCAGCAGCCGCGGUAAUACGAAGGGGGCUAGCGUUGUUCGGAAUUACUGGGCGUAAAGCGCACGUAGGCGGACUUUUAAGUCAGGUGUGAAAUCCCGGGGCUCAACCUCGGAACUGCAUUUGAAACUGGGAGUCUUGAGACCAGGAGAGGUUAGCGGAAUACCGAGUGUAGAGGUGAAAUUCGUAGAUAUUCGGUGGAACACCAGUGGCGAAGGCGGCUAACUGGACUGGUACUGACGCUGA
RNAcentral lists this ribosomal RNA (684 nucleotides) under uncultured bacterium. Its description in RNAcentral is "bacterial SSU rRNA". It matches the Rfam family "Bacterial small subunit ribosomal RNA", at positions 9 to 749 of the family's 1533-position model. The record is from RNAcentral.